This 1070-nucleotide long non-coding RNA is filed under the name Amborella trichopoda. RNAcentral's name for it is "long non-coding RNA (ATRI_LNC002692)". Lineage: Eukaryota; Viridiplantae; Streptophyta; Magnoliopsida; Amborellales; Amborellaceae. The record is from RNAcentral.
CCAUUGGAAUAACUACCCACUAUGCUUGAGAAUAAAAAAUAAGAUUGCAAGAAAUAAAAGAAAAGAGUGUCGGAGAUUACCUCAACUGGGCUUAUUACACCCUACACCGAGUCACCACCAUCUAAUGGCGUGGGAGCGAUGAUCUUGCUUCAAUAUCACACUGGGAAAGCAAAUUUCGGCCAAGUACACGAAUAGAACAUGAACCCCUUUGAUCACAAACUCAAACCAUAUGUGAAUUCCCAUAGCAACCUAGUUUGAGAGAUAUGGAUUCUCUUUUGCUAACCCUAAAAUCCUUAGCCAUAAAUCCAUAGUUUCGACAUGGGAGAGAGAAGAAAUUCAUAGCCAAAACCCUUAGCUCAUUUUUACAAUGUGGGAGAGAGAGAGAUCAAACAUGAGAGAGAGAAAAAGAUAAGGUAUGUAGAUAUUUUGGGUUGAGACAAUCCCUUUUUUAUAUGCUUGAACAAUAUUAGGGUUUCUUAGAGUUUUCCAUGGCUUGCAUCUUCUUUUGAGAUUGAACAUGAACUGUCAAUCAAGGGUGACUUAUGGGGUGACAGAUCUGAGUCAUCCAUUCCAUAGAUGGGCCAUCAACAUUAUAGAAUGUGCAUUAACCAUUAUCCCCAUUUUCUAAAUUAUUUUCCCAUCAAUAGAAAAUAAAUUAAAUUAAUUUUAAUUAAAUAUUGUACAUUCCAUAAAAUAACACAUCUCUACACAUAUUUUCCAUAAAAUCUAUCAAAGAUAUAUCAAGUCAAUAUCUACUUCUGUAUUAAGUCAAUAUAUGGUUAAUACAUACUCAAUCCAUAAUUUGACCACGUGUCAUAAUUUAAAGUUACCAAAACAUAAGGUCACAUGAAUCACAAAACAAAACUUUCUAUAAAAUAGAAAGUAGUAAGAGGUGGGGCGUGCCACCCAUGGGAGGCACAUGUGGGCCCCACCUUCUAAAAACAUGGUGGGCCAAUGUGCACAAUGGGCACCCCAUGAUUAAUUUUUUUAUGCAUUUAAAAUUAACAAAAUAAUUUCUAAUGCAUAUUAAAACAUUAUAAAAUCAAUAUCUUUAAUUUUAUAAAUCCAAA